RNAcentral lists this ribosomal RNA (244 nucleotides) under uncultured Staphylococcus sp. Its description in RNAcentral is "partial 16S ribosomal RNA". It matches the Rfam family "Bacterial small subunit ribosomal RNA", at positions 96 to 334 of the family's 1533-position model. The record is from RNAcentral. Lineage: Bacteria; Bacillati; Bacillota; Bacilli; Caryophanales; Staphylococcaceae.
CGGCGGACGGGUGAGUAACACGUGGAUAACCUACCUAUAAGACUGGGAUAACUUCGGGAAACCGGAGCUAAUACCGGAUAAUAUAUUGAACCGCAUGGUUCAAUAGUGAAAGACGGUUUUGCUGUCACUUAUAGAUGGAUCCGCGCCGCAUUAGCUAGUUGGUAAGGUAACGGCUUACCAAGGCAACGAUGCGUAGUCGACCUGAGAGGGUGAUCGGCCACACUGGAACUGAGACACGGUCCAG